UACGUAGGGGGCAAGCGUUGUCCGGAUUUAUUGGGCGUAAAGAGCGUGUAGGCGGUUUGGUAGGUCCGCUGUGAAAACUCGAGGCUCAACCUCGAGACGCCGGUGGAAACCAUCAGACUAGAGUCCGGAAGAGGAGAGUGGAAUUCCUGGUGUAGCGGUGAAAUGCGCAGAUAUCAGGAGGAACACCGGUGGCGAAGGCGGAUCUCUGGGCCGAUACUGACGCUGAGGAGCGAAAGCGUGGGGAGCGAACAGG
Molecule: ribosomal RNA, 253 nt
Filed under: uncultured bacterium
Lineage: Bacteria
Description: partial 16S ribosomal RNA
Rfam family: Bacterial small subunit ribosomal RNA
Source: RNAcentral